Molecule: ribosomal RNA, 531 nt
Filed under: uncultured bacterium
Lineage: Bacteria
Description: bacterial SSU rRNA
Rfam family: Bacterial small subunit ribosomal RNA
Source: RNAcentral
CCUUGACAUACUAAGAACUUUCCAGAGAUGGAUUGGUGCCUUCGGGAACUUAGAUACAGGUGCUGCAUGGCUGUCGUCAGCUCGUGUCGUGAGAUGUUGGGUUAAGUCCCGCAACGAGCGCAACCCUUUUCCUUAUUUGCCAGCGGGUCAUGCCGGGAACUUUAAGGAUACUGCCAGUGACAAACUGGAGGAAGGCGGGGACGACGUCAAGUCAUCAUGGCCCUUACGGCCAGGGCUACACACGUGCUACAAUGGUCGGUACAAAGGGUUGCUACCUCGCGAGAGGAUGCUAAUCUCAAAAAGCCGAUCGUAGUCCGGAUCGCAGUCUGCAACUCGACUGCGUGAAGUCGGAAUCGCUAGUAAUCGCGGAUCAGAAUGCCGCGGUGAAUACGUUCCCGGGCCUUGUACACACCGCCCGUCACACCAUGGGAGUUUGUUGCACCAGAAGUAGGUAGUCUAACCGCAAGGAGGACGCUCACCACGGUGUGGCCGAUGACUGGGGUGAAGUCGUAACAAGGUAGGCGUAGAUGA